AUUGAACGCUGGCGGCAUGCCUUACACAUGCAAGUCGAACGGUAACAGGUCUUCGGAUGCUGACGAGUGGCGAACGGGUGAGUAAUACAUCGGAACGUGCCCAGUAGUGGGGGAUAACUACUCGAAAGAGUGGCUAAUACCGCAUGAGAUCUACGGAUGAAAGCAGGGGUCCGCAAGACCUUGUGCUACUAGAGCGGCCGAUGGCAGAUUAGGUAGUUGGUGGGAUAAAAGCUUACCAAGCCGACGAUCUGUAGCUGGUCUGAGAGGACGAUCAGCCACACUGGGACUGAGACACGGCCCAGACUCCUACGGGAGGCAGCAGUGGGGAAUUUUGGACAAUGGGCGAAAGCCUGAUCCAGCAAUGCCGCGUGCAGGAUGAAGGCCUUCGGGUUGUAAACUGCUUUUGUACGGAACGAAAAGCCCCGGGUUAAUACCCUGGGGUCAUGACGGUACCGUAAGAAUAAGCACCGGCUAACUACGUGCCAGCCGCCGCCGUAA
RNAcentral lists this ribosomal RNA (498 nucleotides) under uncultured bacterium. Its description in RNAcentral is "partial 16S ribosomal RNA". It matches the Rfam family "Bacterial small subunit ribosomal RNA", at positions 30 to 523 of the family's 1533-position model. The record is from RNAcentral.